AUACGUAGGGGGCGAGCGUUGUCCCGAAUGAUUGGGCGUAAAGGGCGCGUAGGCGGCGCGGUAAGUCUGGAGUGAAAGUCCUGCUUUCAAGGUGGGAAUUGCUUUGGAUACUGCCGCGCUUGAGUGCAGGAGAGGUUAUCGGAAUUCCCGGUGUAGCGGUGAAAUGCGUAGAGAUCGGGAGGAACACCAGUGGCGAAGGCGGGUAACUGGACUGCAACUGACGCUGAGGCGCGAAAGUGUGGGGAGCAAACAGGAUUAGAUACCCUGGUAGUCCACACUGUAAACGAUGAAUGCUAGGUGUAAGAGGUAUCGACCCCUUUUGUGCCGGAGUCAACACAAUAAGCAUUCCGCCUGGGGAGUACGGCCGCAAGGUUGAAACUCAAAUGAAUUGACGGGG
This 397-nucleotide ribosomal RNA is filed under the name uncultured bacterium. RNAcentral's name for it is "partial 16S ribosomal RNA". It matches the Rfam family "Bacterial small subunit ribosomal RNA", at positions 523 to 918 of the family's 1533-position model. The record is from RNAcentral.